UACAGAGGUCUCAAGCGUUGUUCGGAUUCAUUGGGCGUAAAGGGUGUGUAGGUGGCGCGCUAAGUCGGGUGUGAAAUUUCGGAGCUUAACUCCGAAACUGCAUUCGAUACUGGCGUGCUUGAGGACUGGAGAGGAGACUGGAAUUCAUGGUGUAGCAGUAAAAUGCGUAGAGAUCAUGAGGAACACCAAUGGCGAAGGCAGCACUCUGGGACGUGACUGACGCUGAGACGCGAAAGCGUGGGGAGCAAACAGG
Molecule: ribosomal RNA, 253 nt
Filed under: uncultured bacterium
Lineage: Bacteria
Description: partial 16S ribosomal RNA
Rfam family: Bacterial small subunit ribosomal RNA
Source: RNAcentral